This 305-nucleotide ribosomal RNA is filed under the name uncultured bacterium. Its description in RNAcentral is "bacterial SSU rRNA". It matches the Rfam family "Bacterial small subunit ribosomal RNA", at positions 335 to 657 of the family's 1533-position model. The record is from RNAcentral.
UGACCUACGGGGCGCAGCAGUGGGGAAUAUUGCACAAUGGGGAGAACCCUGAUGCAGCGACGCCGCGUGGGUGAAGAAGUCAUUCGUGACGUAAAGCCCUAUCAGCAGGGAAGAAAAUGACGGUACCUGACUAAGAAGCCCCGGCUAACUACGUGCCAGCAGCCGCGGUAAUACGUAGGGGGCAAGCGUUAUCCGGCUUUACUGGUUGUAAAGGGGGCGCAGACGGCGAUGCAAGCCAGGAGUGAAAGCCCGGGGCCCAACCCCGGGCCUGCUCUUGGAACUACGUGGCUGGAGUGCAGGAGGGG